Molecule: ribosomal RNA, 268 nt
Filed under: uncultured bacterium
Lineage: Bacteria
Description: partial 16S ribosomal RNA
Rfam family: Bacterial small subunit ribosomal RNA
Source: RNAcentral
UACGUAGGGGGCAAGCGUUGUCCGGAAUCAUUGGGCGUAAAGAGCGUGUAGGCGGCCCGGUAAGUCCGCUGUGAAAGUCCAGGGCUCAACCCUGGGAUGCCGGUGGAUACUGUCGGGCUCGAGUCCGGAAGAGGAGUGUGGAAUUCCUGGUGUAGCGGUGAAAUGCGCAGAUAUCAGGAGGAACACCUGCGGCGAAGGCGGGUUGCUGGGCUGAGUGACUGACGCUGGAUGCGCGAAAGCCAGGGGAGCGAACGGGAUUAGACGUACC